RNAcentral lists this ribosomal RNA (395 nucleotides) under uncultured soil bacterium. RNAcentral's name for it is "bacterial SSU rRNA". It matches the Rfam family "Bacterial small subunit ribosomal RNA", at positions 26 to 411 of the family's 1533-position model. The record is from RNAcentral.
AGAUUGAACGCUAGCGGGAUGCUUUACACAUGCAAGUCGAACGGCAGCGCGGACUUCGGUCUGGCGGCGAGUGGCGAACGGGUGAGUAAUAUAUCGGAACGUGCCCAGUAGCGGGGGAUAACUACGCGAAAGCGUGGCUAAUACCGCAUACGCCCUACGGGGGAAAGGGGGGGAUUCUUCGGAACCCUCUCACUAGUUGGAGCCGGCCUAUAUCAGAUUAGCUAGUUGGUGAGGUAAGCUCACAGGCGACGAUCUAGAGCUUGGUUGAGAGACCGACCAGCCACACGUGGGACUGACGACACCGGCCCAGACUCCGACGGGAGCAGCAGGUAGGGUAAUUUCGGACGUAAGUACGGGGGAAACCCUGACUCCGAGCCACUCCCGCGUGUCGACGA